AUUGUUGUACUACAAUGCGCUGCCAUAGAAAUAAAAUGGAUAGAAAGGCCAUUUCCAUUCAAAUCAACGUAGCAAAAUGUUCAGAGUAGCACCCAUUUUUAUGUGUAUCAUUGCCAUGGUAAUGAAUAAAAUUCCGACGAUAAGCCGACUUCCGGGACGUAGCAGA
Molecule: long non-coding RNA, 166 nt
Organism: Etheostoma cragini (Arkansas darter)
Lineage: Eukaryota; Metazoa; Chordata; Actinopteri; Perciformes; Percidae
Exons: 3
Source: RefSeq, a predicted model, not a curated record